Molecule: ribosomal RNA, 1009 nt
Filed under: Bacillus pumilus
Lineage: Bacteria; Bacillati; Bacillota; Bacilli; Caryophanales; Bacillaceae
Description: bacterial SSU rRNA
Rfam family: Bacterial small subunit ribosomal RNA
Source: RNAcentral
CUCCGCAAUGGACGAAAGUCUGACGGAGCAACGCCGCGUGAGUGAUGAAGGUUUCGGAUCGUAAAGCUUGUUGUUAGGGAAGAACAAGUGCGAGAGUAACUGCUCGCACCUUGACGGUACCUAACCAGAAAGCCACGGCUAACUACGUGCCAGCAGCCGCGGUAAUACGUAGGUGGCAAGCGUUGUCCGGAAUUAUUGGGCGUAAAGGGCUCGCAGGCGGUUUCUUAAGUCUGAUGUGAAAGCCCKCGGCUCAACCGGGGAGGGUCAUUGGAAACUGGGAAACUUGAGUGCAGAAGAGGAGAGUGGAAUUCCACGUGUAGCGGUGAAAUGCGUAGAGAUGUGGAGGAACACCAGUGGCGAAGGCGACUCUCUGGUCUGUAACUGACGCUGAGGAGCGAAAGCGUGGGGAGCGAACAGGAUUAGAUACCCUGGUAGUCCACGCCGUAAACGAUGAGUGCUAAGUGUUAGGGGGUUUCCGCCCCUUAGUGCUGCAGCUAACGCAUUAAGCACUCCGCCUGGGGAGUACGGUCGCAAGACUGAAACUCAAAGGAAUUGACGGGGGCCCGCACAAGCGGUGGAGCAUGUGGUUUAAUUCGAAGCAACGCGAAGAACCUUACCAGGUCUUGACAUCCUCUGACAACCCUAGAGAUAGGGCUUUCCCUUCGGGGACAGAGUGACAGGUGGUGCAUGGUUGUCGUCAGCUCGUGUCGUGAGAUGUUGGGUUAAGUCCCGCAACGAGCGCAACCCUUGAUCUUAGUUGCCAGCAUUUAGUUGGGCACUCUAAGGUGACUGCCGGUGACAAACCGGAGGAAGGUGGGGAUGACGUCAAAUCAUCAUGCCCCUUAUGACCUGGGCUACACACGUGCUACAAUGGACAGAACAAAGGGCUGCGAGACCGCAAGGUUUAGCCAAUCCCAUAAAUCUGUUCUCAGUUCGGAUCGCAGUCUGCAACUCGACUGCGUGAAGCUGGAAUCGCUAGUAAUCGCGGAUCAGCAUGCCGCGUWUGGAC